GCCCCAGUGGUGUAACGGAAUUAACAUAGGUCCCUUCUAAGGAUGCAGAUUGGGGGUUCGAAUCCCUCCUGGGGUA
This 76-nucleotide transfer RNA is filed under the name Bacteroidaceae bacterium. RNAcentral's name for it is "tRNA-Arg". It matches the Rfam family "tRNA". From Rfam's summary of the family: Transfer RNA (tRNA) molecules are approximately 80 nucleotides in length. Their secondary structure includes four short double-helical elements and three loops (D, anti-codon, and T loops). Further hydrogen bonds mediate the characteristic L-shaped molecular structure. tRNAs have two regions of fundamental functional importance: the anti-codon, which is responsible for specific mRNA codon recognition, and the 3' end, to which the tRNAs corresponding amino acid is attached (by aminoacyl-tRNA synthetases). tRNAs cope with the degeneracy of the genetic code in two manners: having more than one tRNA (with a specific anti-codon) for a particular amino acid; and 'wobble' base-pairing, i.e. permitting non-standard base-pairing at the 3rd anti-codon position. Lineage: Bacteria; Pseudomonadati; Bacteroidota; Bacteroidia; Bacteroidales; Bacteroidaceae. The record is from RNAcentral.